This is a long non-coding RNA of Oncorhynchus keta (chum salmon), 153 nucleotides long. RefSeq lists it as uncharacterized. The transcript is spliced from 3 exons. Lineage: Eukaryota; Metazoa; Chordata; Actinopteri; Salmoniformes; Salmonidae. The record is from RefSeq and is a predicted model, not a curated record.
AGGUUCCCCCAUGUUGAUAGGUUUCCCCAUGUUGAUAGGUUCCCCCAUGUUGAUAGGUUCCCCCAUGUUGAUAGGUUCCCCCAUGUUGAUAGGUUUCCCCAUGUUGAUAGGUUCCCCCAUGUUGAUAGGUUUCCCCAUGUUGAUAGGUUCCCC